RNAcentral lists this ribosomal RNA (253 nucleotides) under uncultured bacterium. Its description in RNAcentral is "partial 16S ribosomal RNA". It matches the Rfam family "Bacterial small subunit ribosomal RNA", at positions 524 to 776 of the family's 1533-position model. The record is from RNAcentral.
UACGUAGGGUCCGAGCGUUGUCCGGAAUUACUGGGCGUAAAGCGCGCGCAGGCGGCCCGCGAGGUGUCACGUGAAACCCCCGGGCUCAACCCGGGAGGGUCGUGGCAAACCGGCGGGCUUGAGGCCGGUAGAGGUGGGUGGAACUCCUGGUGGAGUGGUGAAAUGCGUAGAGAUCAGGAAGAACACCCGUGGCGAAGGCGGCCCACUGGGCCGGUACUGACGCUGAGGCGCGAAGGCGUGGGGAGCGAACGGG